AAUCAACGCUGGCGGCGUGCCUAACACGUGCAAGUCGAACGCGAAAGUCCCGCAAGGGAUGGAGUAGAGUGGCAAACGGGUGAGUAACGCGUGGGUGACCUGCCCUUCGAGGUGGGGGAUAACGUUCCGAAAGGGACGCUAAUACCGCAUAACAUCCCGCCUUUUAAGAGGUGGACAGUCGAAAAGCCUUGGGACCGGCAAGGCCAGGCGCUUGACGAGGGGCCCGCGUCUGGAUUAGC
Molecule: ribosomal RNA, 239 nt
Filed under: uncultured bacterium
Lineage: Bacteria
Description: partial 16S ribosomal RNA
Rfam family: Bacterial small subunit ribosomal RNA
Source: RNAcentral